RNAcentral lists this ribosomal RNA (468 nucleotides) under uncultured bacterium. RNAcentral's name for it is "partial 16S ribosomal RNA". It matches the Rfam family "Bacterial small subunit ribosomal RNA", at positions 28 to 507 of the family's 1533-position model. The record is from RNAcentral.
GACGAACGCUGGCGGCGUGCUUAACACAUGCAAGUCGAACGGAAAGGCCCUGCUUUUGUGGGGUGCUCGAGUGGCGAACGGGUGAGUAACACGUGAGUAACCUGCCCUUGACUUUGGGAUAACUUCAGGAAACUGGGGCUAAUACCGGAUAGGAGCUCCUGCUGCAUGGUGGGGGUUGGAAAGUUUCGGCGGUUGGGGAUGGACUCGCGGCUUAUCAGCUUGUUGGUGGGGUAGUGGCUUAUCAAGGGUUUGACGGGUAGCCGGCCUGAGAGGGUGACCGGCCACAUUGGGACUGAGAUACGGCGCAGACGCCUACGGGAGGCAGCAGUGGGGAAUAUUGCACAAUGGGCGGAAGCCUGAUGCAGCAACGCCGCGUGCGGGAUGACGGCCUUCGGGUUGUAAACCGCUUUCGCCUGUGACGAAGCGUGAGUGACGGUAAUGGGUAAAGAAGCACCGGCUAACUACGUG